AUUGAACGCUGGCGGCAUGCUUUACACAUGCAAGUCGAACGGUAACAGGCCUUCGGGUGCUGACGAGUGGCGAACGGGUGAGUAAUGCAUCGGAACGUGCCCAGAGGUGGGGGAUAACGCAGCGAAAGCUGUGCUAAUACCGCAUGUGAUCUGAGGAUGAAAGCGGGGACCAGGCAGCAAUGUUUGGCCUCGCGCCUUUGGAGCGGCCGAUGUCAGAUUAGGUAGUUGGUGGGGUAAAGGCCUACCAAGCCGACGAUCUGUAGCUGGUCUGAGAGGACGACCAGCCACACUGGGACUGAGACACGGCCCAGACUCCUACGGGAGGCAGCAGUGGGGAAUUUUGGACAAUGGGCGCAAGCCUGAUCCAGCAAUGCCGCGUGCGGGAAGAAGGCCUUCGGGUUGUAAACCGCUUUUGUACGGAACGAAAAGGCUCUGGCUAAUACCUGGGGCUGAUGACGGUACCGGAAGAAUAAGCACCGGCUAACUACGUG
This 491-nucleotide ribosomal RNA is filed under the name uncultured bacterium. RNAcentral describes it as "partial 16S ribosomal RNA". It matches the Rfam family "Bacterial small subunit ribosomal RNA", at positions 30 to 507 of the family's 1533-position model. The record is from RNAcentral.